Molecule: ribosomal RNA, 792 nt
Filed under: uncultured bacterium
Lineage: Bacteria
Description: bacterial SSU rRNA
Rfam family: Bacterial small subunit ribosomal RNA
Source: RNAcentral
UUCGGAUGGAAGCGGAUAUGACUUGCCGGCGGACGGGUGAGUAACGCGGGGAUAACCUGCCUCAUACAGGGGGAUAACAGUUAGAAAUGACUGCUAAUACCGCAUAAGCGCACAGGACCGCAUGGUCCGGUGUGAAAAACUCCGGUGGUAUGGGAUGGAUCCGCGUCUGAUUAGCUGGUUGGUGAGGUAACGGCCCACCAAGGCGACGAUCAGUAGCCGACCUGAGAGGGUGGCCGGCCACAUUGGGACUGAGACACGGCCCAAACUCCUACGGGAGGCAGCAGUGGGGAAUAUUGCACAAUGGGGGAAACCCUGAUGCAGCAACGCCGCGUGAGUGAAGAAGUAUUUCGGUAUGUAAAGCUCUAUCAGCAGGGAAGAAGAAAGACGGUACCUGACUAAGAAGCCCCGGCUAACUACGUGCCAGCAGCCGCGGUAAUACGUAGGGGGCAAGCGUUAUCCGGAUUUACUGGGUGUAAAGGGAGCGUAGACGGCUGUGCAAGUCUGAAGUGAAAGCCCGUGGCUCAACCGCGGAACUGCUUUGGAAACUGUAUAGCUUGAGUACUGGAGAGGCAGGCGGAAUUCCUAGUGUAGCGGUGAAAUGCGUAGAUAUUAGGAGGAACACCAGUGGCGAAGGCGGCCUGCUGGACAGAAACUGACGUUGAGGCUCGAAAGCGUGGGGAGCAAACAGGAUUAGAUACCCUGGUAGUCCACGCGGUAAACGAUGAAUGCUAGGUGUUGGGGAGCAAAGCUCUUCGGUGCCGUCGCAAACGCAGUAAGCAUUCCACCUGGGGA